This 1768-nucleotide unclassified non-coding RNA is filed under the name Hevea brasiliensis (rubber tree). The record is from RNAcentral. Lineage: Eukaryota; Viridiplantae; Streptophyta; Magnoliopsida; Malpighiales; Euphorbiaceae.
GAGAAAUAAUGGAGACUGAAGAAAAUAUUGUAAUUGUUGGUGCUGGUAUAGCUGGUCUUGCUACUUCUUUGGCCCUUCACAGAUUGGGGCUGCGGAGUAUUGUGUUGGAAUCAGCUGAUUCGUUGCGAGCUACUGGAUUUGCAUUGGCGUUGUGGACUAAUGCCUGGAGAGCUUUGGAUGCAUUGGACAUUGGGGACUCUCUUAGACAACGUUCUUUAUCCAUUACUGGGUUUAAAAGUUUCUCAGCGGAAUCAGGUGCACCUAUCACGGAGGUAUCAUUUGUGGGGAAUAACAGUGUGGAGUAUGAAAGUCGUUGUGUGAGAAGAAAAGAUCUGUUGGAGACAUUAGCUAAUGAACUGCCUCAAGGCGCUAUUAGAUAUUCUUCUAAGGUAGAUUCCGUUGAAGUAUCUGGACCAUUGAAAUUGGUACAUCUUGCAGAUGGUUGCACUAUUAGAACCAAGGCCUUAAUUGGGUGUGACGGAGUCAAUUCUGUGGUGGCAAACUGGCUUGGGCUUCAGAAACCUGUCUAUUCUGGGCGCUCUGCAAUUAGAGGCUUUGUUGAGUAUCCCGAAAAACAUGGUUAUCAGCCUAAGUUCCACGCAUAUUUUGGAGGUGGAGUUCGGUUUGGAUUUCUUCCUAGUGAUGAGAAGAGUUUAUACUGGUUUUGCACAUUCACACCAUCUGUUGUUCAUUGUAAGCCACCUCUUACAUACCGUUUCUUUUGAAGAUUUACUUUUUGAAGGAUAUUGGUGUUGGCUAGAGAGCUUAACUCUCUGAAGUGGGAGCCUUGACGUAAUUGGUAAAGUUACUGUCAUGUGACCUAGAGGUUACGGAUCCGAGCUGUAGAAACAGCCUCUUGCAGAAAUGCAGGUUAAGAUUGCAUACAUUAGUUCCCUGUGGUCCAGGCCUUCCCCCGAACCCUGUGCAUAGCAGGCGCUUAGUGCACCGAGCUGUCUAGAUAUCUUACAUCUCAUAAACUAGUCAUGUUUAGUUGUUCAUUUUAAUUGGGAUUUUAUGCAGUUGAUGGAAAUGCAGAACAAGAUCCAAUUAAAUUGAAGCAAUUCGUGUUGAACAAGGCCAGUAAUGUGUCUAAAGAACUCUCCACCGUUAUAGACAGAACAACUCUCGACUCUAUAUCUAUUGCUCAGCUGAAAUUGAGAGUACCAUGGAAUGUUCUGUUUGGGAAUAUUUUGAAAAAUAACGUCUGUGUGGUAGGUGAUGCACUUCAUCCCAUGACUCCUGAUCUUGGUCAAGGUGGAUGUUCUGCUUUAGAGGACAGUGUUGUUAUCGCAAAGUGCCUUGCAGAAGCCUUGAUAAAACCGAUAACAGAACAAGAAGACGAUGAAUCUAUGAGGAUUAGAAAAGGACUCGAGAAAUAUGCUAAAGAGAGGAGAUGGAGAAGUUUUACAUUUAUCAGUGCUGCUUAUUUAUCUGGUUUCAUACAAGAGACUGAUAACAAGAUAAUCAGUUUCUUAAGACAACAUUUUUUAGGUGGAGUUACUAUAUCAGUUACACUAAAAAUUGCUAACUUCGACUGCGGAAAACUAGCUGUUUCUUAGUAGCUCCAAUUGGAUCCUUUAGAGGCUAUGAAUAUCUUUUAUGGACUUUGUUUAAUAUCUAUCUAGCAUACAUGUUCCGGUUUAGUUGUGUCUAAAGAAUUGUAAGACCGAGUCGGAUCCUUAUUUUGCAAUAAUGAAAUUGUGUACUACAUCAAAGAUAUCCAAGAACAUCAGUUGUUUAGAAGCAAAUAUGGUAACAUCUGCAUUUU